This 89-nucleotide microRNA precursor is filed under the name Musa balbisiana (Balbis banana). RNAcentral's name for it is "mir-166 microRNA precursor family". It matches the Rfam family "mir-166 microRNA precursor family". From Rfam's summary of the family: This family represents the plant microRNA (miRNA) precursor mir-166. Animal miRNAs are transcribed as ~70nt precursors and subsequently processed by the Dicer enzyme to give a ~22nt product. In plants the precursor sequences may be longer, and the carpel factory (caf) enzyme appears to be involved in processing. RNAcentral also lists the same sequence under 1 other name. Lineage: Eukaryota; Viridiplantae; Streptophyta; Magnoliopsida; Zingiberales; Musaceae. The record is from Rfam by way of RNAcentral.
UUUGAGGGGAAUGUUGUCUGGCUCGAGGCCUUCGUUUCUCUUACAGAUCUGUUUGAAGAGAUCUCGGACCAGGCUUCAUUCCCCCCAAU